This 201-nucleotide ribosomal RNA is filed under the name Triticum aestivum (bread wheat). Its description in RNAcentral is "partial small subunit ribosomal RNA". Lineage: Eukaryota; Viridiplantae; Streptophyta; Magnoliopsida; Poales; Poaceae. The record is from RNAcentral.
AUGGCGAAGAUCAAGCCAAAGGCAUUGCUGGCACAGAGCAAACAGAAGAAGGGCCCUACUCAGAUCGGCUUGGUGAGGAUCAUCACCUACAUCGUCCUCGGCGCCCUAGCAGUGUCCUCCGUCUACUAUGCCUAUCAGUACUGGCAGAGCAAAGGACCGGCCGUUGCGGCAGCAGCAGCAGAAGGCGCUGUGGGGAACUAA